CCGGCGACCGGCGCACGGGUGAGUAACACGUAUGGAACCUGCCCGCAGCAGGGGGAUAAGCGGAAGAAAUUCCGUCUAAUACCGCGUAACAACGUCGGGAGGCAUCUCCCGAUGUUUAAAGAUUUAUCGGCUGCGGAUGGCCAUGCGGCGCAUUAGCUAGUCGGCGGGGUAACGGCCCACCGAGGCGACGAUGCGUAGGGGUUCUGAGAGGAAGGUCCCCCACACUGGUACUGAGACACGGCCAGACUCCUACGGAAGGCAGCAG
This 265-nucleotide ribosomal RNA is filed under the name uncultured bacterium. RNAcentral's name for it is "partial 16S ribosomal RNA". It matches the Rfam family "Bacterial small subunit ribosomal RNA", at positions 88 to 354 of the family's 1533-position model. The record is from RNAcentral.